GGUAAAAUGGCCGAGUAGGCAUUAGACUGUAAAUCUAAGCACAGAUGUUUAGUUCUCUUCUUACCA
RNAcentral lists this transfer RNA (66 nucleotides) under Cavia porcellus (domestic guinea pig). It matches the Rfam family "tRNA". From Rfam's summary of the family: Transfer RNA (tRNA) molecules are approximately 80 nucleotides in length. Lineage: Eukaryota; Metazoa; Chordata; Mammalia; Rodentia; Caviidae. The record is from Rfam by way of RNAcentral.